AUGGCCAUGGGGACUAGGCGCGCCGCUCUCUGCUUUCUUCUGCUAGUCGCCGUCUUCUUACAAGGCAAUCCUACAUUGGUUUCAGCGGAUGAGGAGUACAAGUAUAGGAUUCCGUAUGUACCCUUCUGCAAGGGGUGGAGCUGCAAGGUGGAGUGCUGGCUGGAGGCCAAGCUCUUCCGCACCCGUCUGCAGGAGCGCAAGUGCAUCAGGGGCGGCAUCAAGGGCGCCUGCUACUGCCUCUUCUGCGGGAAGCACCUCCAAUGA
Molecule: ribosomal RNA, 264 nt
Filed under: Triticum aestivum (bread wheat)
Lineage: Eukaryota; Viridiplantae; Streptophyta; Magnoliopsida; Poales; Poaceae
Description: partial small subunit ribosomal RNA
Source: RNAcentral